ACGGGAGGCAGCAGUGGGGAAUAUUGGACAAUGGGCGCAAGCCUGAUCCAGCCAUGCCGCGUGUGUGAAGAAGGCCUUAUGGUUGUAAAGCACUUUAAGCGAGGAGGAGGCUACUUUAGAUAAUACCUAGAGAUAGUGGACGUUACUCGCAGAAUAAGCACCGGCUAACUCUGUGCCAGCAGCCGCGGUAAUACAGAGGGUGCAAGCGUUAAUCGGAUUUACUGGGCGUAAAGCGCGCGUAGGCGGCUAAUUAAGUCAAAUGUGAAAUCCCCGAGCUUAACUUGGGAAUUGCAUUCGAUACUGGUUAGCUAGAGUGUGGGAGAGGAUGGUAGAAUUCCAGGUGUAGCGGUGAAAUGCGUAGAGAUCUGGAGGAAUACCGAUGGCGAAGGCAGCCAUCUGGCCUAACACUGACGCUGAGGUGCGAAAGCAUGGGGAGCAAACAGGAUUAGAUACCCUGGUA
RNAcentral lists this ribosomal RNA (460 nucleotides) under uncultured Acinetobacter sp. Its description in RNAcentral is "bacterial SSU rRNA". It matches the Rfam family "Bacterial small subunit ribosomal RNA", at positions 341 to 792 of the family's 1533-position model. Lineage: Bacteria; Pseudomonadati; Pseudomonadota; Gammaproteobacteria; Moraxellales; Moraxellaceae. The record is from RNAcentral.